UACGUAGGGUGCGAGCGUUAAUCGGAAUUACUGGGCGUAAAGCGUGCGCAGGCGGUUUUGUAAGCCAGAUGUGAAAUCCCCGGGCUUAACCUGGGAAUGGCAUUUGGGACUGCAAGGCUGGAGUAUGGCAGAGGGGACUAGAAUUCCUGGUGUAGCAGUGAAAUUCGUAGAUAUUAGGAAGAACACCAGUGGCGAAGGCGGCUCACUGGCCCGGUACUGACGCUGAGGCGCGAAAGCGUGGGGAGCAAACAGG
RNAcentral lists this ribosomal RNA (253 nucleotides) under uncultured bacterium. RNAcentral's name for it is "partial 16S ribosomal RNA". It matches the Rfam family "Bacterial small subunit ribosomal RNA", at positions 524 to 776 of the family's 1533-position model. The record is from RNAcentral.